UACGUAGGGUGCGAGCGUUGUCCGGAAUUAUUGGGCGUAAAGAGCUCGUAGGCGGUUUGUCGCGUCGGAUGUGAAAGCCCGGGGCUUAACUCCGGGUCUGCAUUCGAUACGGGCAGGCUAGAGUUCGGUAGGGGAGAUCGGAAUUCCUGGUGUAGCGGUGAAAUGCGUAGAUACUGGGAGGAACACCAGUGGCGAAGGCGGCUACCUGGACCGGUACUGACGCUGAGGCGCGAAAGCGUGGGUAGCAAACAGG
This 253-nucleotide ribosomal RNA is filed under the name uncultured bacterium. RNAcentral's name for it is "partial 16S ribosomal RNA". It matches the Rfam family "Bacterial small subunit ribosomal RNA", at positions 524 to 776 of the family's 1533-position model. The record is from RNAcentral.